Molecule: long non-coding RNA, 488 nt
Filed under: Mytilus galloprovincialis (Mediterranean mussel)
Lineage: Eukaryota; Metazoa; Mollusca; Bivalvia; Mytilida; Mytilidae
Source: RNAcentral
CUGGCCUUUAGGUUUCUCGUUUGAAUUGUUUAACGUUUUGUCAUUUCUGUGACUUUUAUAUCUUACUUUACAAUGGUUUCCUCGAUGUUGAAGGUAAUACCGUGAUCUUCAGUUGCUUAUAUUACGUCUUUACUCUCUGGUGCAUUGUUUUCUCAUUGGUAAUCAUAUCGCUCCCUUAUUUUCAUAAUGAUGUGGUGUACCUUUCUCUGUGUUGAUUUUAAUUGUGCGUUUUGUCUCUGUAUUGAAUAUCAAGCUAGUUUUUUUCAAAUAUUAGAAGCCAGGGCUGAGUACACAAAAACCUUGUUCUUUUUGUGUACAUUUCCGAAAUCAGCAACCUCGUUUAUGGUUACGUUAAUGUUUUGUUUCUGUUCAGAAGUUGCCGUUCAGGGCAGAGAUUUGGUAGUUACUGUUAAAUUUAUACGUUUUCCUAUAACUUAAGACAUUGGUCAUGCUAUUGAUGAUCUUUGGUAAAGCUUUUUGUUCUGUUU